GUUUCAGGGCGGGGUGCGAUUCCCCACCGGCGGUGAGCGGCGUUGUGCCGCAAGCCCGCGACCGGCUGCGUAAGCAGCCGCUGACCCGGUGUGAUUCCGGGGCCGACGGUAUAGUCCGGAUGAAAGAAA
Molecule: non-coding RNA, 129 nt
Filed under: uncultured Gemmiger sp.
Lineage: Bacteria; Bacillati; Bacillota; Clostridia; Eubacteriales; Oscillospiraceae
Description: FMN riboswitch (RFN element)
Rfam family: FMN riboswitch aptamer (RFN element)
About the family: The RFN element is a highly conserved domain that is found frequently in the 5'-untranslated regions of prokaryotic mRNAs that encode for flavin mononucleotide (FMN) biosynthesis and transport proteins. This element is a metabolite-dependent riboswitch that directly binds FMN in the absence of proteins.
Source: RNAcentral